Molecule: long non-coding RNA, 608 nt
Organism: Strongylocentrotus purpuratus (purple sea urchin)
Lineage: Eukaryota; Metazoa; Echinodermata; Echinoidea; Camarodonta; Strongylocentrotidae
Exons: 2
Source: RefSeq, a predicted model, not a curated record
UAGAGCGUAUAUCAAAUCAAAAUUCGAUGCACUUCUUCUAAACUUGUGUGCACAUUAUGAUUAUAGUCCUCCAACUGUCGCACGCUCUUUCAAAUGAAAAUUUCUUUCUUUUUCUUUUAGAGAGAGGUGGUCUAAACCAGUAUCUUCAGGCAAGCAAAUUUAUAGUUUCCCAUCAUUUCAAUUUACGGGAAUACACCCCCGCUUUGAAAUGGAUGGCUCCUCAUCUCGGCGAAAACACAUCUAGUAUUUUCCCCUUUCUUUGAAGAGAAAGAAACGCUACUCGCAGUUGCGAUUGAAGUGCGCAUGUUCGUCUUCAUUUUUAUACUUUUACCAGAGAUAUAUCUUGACUGAAUAACUAAUCAUGGAUCACAUCACAAGAUUGACUAUUCGACAAGUGUCAAUGAACCAUUCCUGAAUUUCACAUGUCAUGUCAUGACGGCUUAGUGAAUCACUUCAAUGCGAUGGAUGAAGUCUGCUUAUUUUCCCCUGCCAUGACAUGAUUAUACAACGCUGAUGAUAUCGAGAGGUUUUGGGUGACAAUAUUUUGAUUACGUCGUUCUGAAGGUCUUCUCGGAGCUCGUCUCGAUUCAUCAAUGGGAUACUUUUUC